GUGCCAGCAGCCGCGGUAAUACGGAGGGGGCUAGCGUUGUUCGGAAUUACUGGGCGUAAAGCGCACGUAGGCGGAUCGGAAAGUUGGGGGUGAAAUCCCGGGGCUCAACCCCGGAACGGCCUUCAAAACUACUGGUCUUGAGUUCGAGAGAGGUGAGUGGAAUUCCGAGUGUAGAGGUGAAAUUCGUAGAUAUUCGGAGGAACACCAGUGGCGAAGGCGGCUCACUGGCUCGAUACUGACGCUGAGGUGCGAAAGCGUGGGGAGCAAACAGGAUUAGA
This 278-nucleotide ribosomal RNA is filed under the name uncultured Rhodobacterales bacterium. Its description in RNAcentral is "partial 16S ribosomal RNA". It matches the Rfam family "Bacterial small subunit ribosomal RNA", at positions 505 to 782 of the family's 1533-position model. Lineage: Bacteria; Pseudomonadati; Pseudomonadota; Alphaproteobacteria; Rhodobacterales. The record is from RNAcentral.